CGUGUAGGCGGGACAGCAAGUCGGGUGUGAAAGCCCUGGGCUCAACCCAGGAAGUGCAUUCGAUACUACUGUUCUUGAGUAUGACAGGGGAAAGCGGAAUUCCCGGUGUAGCGGUGAAAUGCGUAGAUAUCGGGAAGAACACCUGUGGCGAAGGCGGCUUUCUGGGUCACAACUGACGCUGAGGCGCGAAAGCUAGGGGAGCAACG
This 206-nucleotide ribosomal RNA is filed under the name uncultured bacterium. RNAcentral describes it as "partial 16S ribosomal RNA". It matches the Rfam family "Bacterial small subunit ribosomal RNA", at positions 568 to 773 of the family's 1533-position model. The record is from RNAcentral.